AGCAGCCGCGGUAAUUCCAGCUCCAAUAGCGUAUAUUAAAGUUGUUGCAGUUAAAAAGCUCGUAGUUGAAUUUCGGGGUUAGUAGAUUGGUCAUGCCUCUGGUAUGUACUGGUCUCACUGAUUCCUCCUUCCUGAUGAUCCGUAAUGCCAUUAAUUUGGUGUUGCGGGGAAUUUGGACUGUUACUUUGAAAAAAUUAGAGUGUUUAAAGCAAGCUAACGCUUGAAUACAUUAGCAUGGAAUAAUGAAAUAGGACGUUCGAUCCUAUUUUGUUGGUUUCUAGGAUUGACGUAAUGAUUAAUAGGGAUAGUUGGGGGCAUUAGUAUUCAAUUGUCAGAGGUGAAAUUCUUGGAUUUAUUGAAGACUAACUACUGCGAAAGCAUUUGCCAAGGGUGUUUUCAUUAAUCAAGAACGAAAGUUAGGGGAUCGAAGACGAUCAGAUACCGUCGUAGUCUUAACCAUAAACUAUGCCGACUAGGGGUCGGAUGAUGUUAAUUUUUUAAUGACUCA
RNAcentral lists this ribosomal RNA (508 nucleotides) under uncultured glomeraceous AM fungus. RNAcentral describes it as "SSU rRNA". It matches the Rfam family "Eukaryotic small subunit ribosomal RNA", at positions 569 to 1078 of the family's 1831-position model. The record is from RNAcentral. Lineage: Eukaryota; Fungi; Glomeromycota; Glomeromycetes; Glomerales; Glomeraceae.